This is a non-coding RNA of Schizosaccharomyces pombe (fission yeast), 217 nucleotides long. The record is from the annotation of a GenBank genome assembly. NCBI's taxonomy places the organism in Eukaryota, Fungi, Ascomycota, Schizosaccharomycetes, Schizosaccharomycetales, Schizosaccharomycetaceae.
AUGUUUAUUUACACAGAAAAUGACUAUAUAUGGCAUGCACCUCUUAAAAAAAAGGCGGACAGCUUCGUUGAUGGAUUAUGUUUCAAAGAAUCUAAUUCUACUAAAUUAACUCAUAAUGCUUUCAAAAUUAUUAUAGUUUAUGUGCAAAAACUGUGAUGCUGAAACGUUCCCGCUGGAAAGGAGAAAUAACGAAAAUAAUAAUCGUCCUAAAUGUCAA